AUCAGCACCAUUCUCAGGUUCACGGGGGCUGGGGAGGAAGAUGGUGCACCCUGGACAACCCUCAGAGGAGGAGAAAAUCACCGGCUCCCAAUUUGGGCAGCGAAUCAGAAGCAGCAUGGAUUCACUGCCUUUUGAAAUAGUGAAACUACCGUCAUUGGAGAAAGGCGAACUGUGGUUAGGCGACCUGGGAUUCCUCCGCUGGGAGAGAGGUUGAACUAGGUGAACUUGAAGGUUUCAUGCAAGGAAAGAGAAGUUAGCUGAUAUUUAUGUAGACCAGCUUCUAGAUUGACACUAAGUACAAAGCUAAUGUGUAUUUACUAUGGCUUUAAUCUAUACUGAUUAAGAAUGUCUCAUUUAUUCACCUGCACCUCAUGUUUUACUUGGCAUGUAUCUUUAUUAUAGUUAAUAUAAAUAUCACAUUAGCUGCUUACAGAACAUAUAGAAUUUGCUGUCCUGAGUUUAUUUACAAGUUAGUACCUCAUUUAUGAGACUUUUUACCCCUUGAGAACAUCCGCCUUCUUCUUGAAAACUGUGACUGGUUCAUUAUAAACAUAUAUUCGUAUAAUGGAGUUAAUGGGGUUAUCAUCUGUUUAUCUCUUUUAAUUAGGCCCUGAUUUGCCCAAACAAUUUCAGUUACUUUCUUGAUUACAGUUGGAGGAGCAUGUGGUUUGGUGUGGGCUUGGUAAAGAGCUGCUGUCUGCUUCUCUAAAUCCACGUAUAGUAUCAUAUGUUCAGGCUGAGUUAAUAUUUGAUAUGUGAGUUGUUCCCUUAUCUUGUUAGAUACUCUUGAUAAAAGAAUUCCCACUCAUGAAUUUUCAUGGAUAUACCUCUGGAAAGGAAUUGAGAAAAAUAAAUGUUGUGCUAUUUGGAAAGGUUGGGAGACACGUUGCAAUCGAG
RNAcentral lists this long non-coding RNA (897 nucleotides) under Homo sapiens (human). Its description in RNAcentral is "HSALNT0277676". Lineage: Eukaryota; Metazoa; Chordata; Mammalia; Primates; Hominidae. The record is from RNAcentral.